This 176-nucleotide ribosomal RNA is filed under the name uncultured bacterium. Its description in RNAcentral is "partial 16S ribosomal RNA". It matches the Rfam family "Bacterial small subunit ribosomal RNA", at positions 335 to 527 of the family's 1533-position model. The record is from RNAcentral.
AUUCCUACGGGAGGCAGCAGUGAGGAAUAUUGCGCAAUGGGCGAAAGCCUGACGCAGCGACGCCGCGUGGAGGAUGAAGGAUUUCGGUCUGUAAACUCCUGUCAGUAGGGAAGAGAAUGGACGGCACCUGUAGAGGAAGUUUACCCUGGCUCAGUGCCAGCAGCCGCGGUAAUAAU